This 401-nucleotide ribosomal RNA is filed under the name uncultured bacterium. RNAcentral's name for it is "bacterial SSU rRNA". It matches the Rfam family "Bacterial small subunit ribosomal RNA", at positions 355 to 770 of the family's 1533-position model. The record is from RNAcentral.
UGGGGAAUAUUGGGCAAUGGGGGAAACCCUGACCCAGCAACGCCGCGUGAAGGACGAAGGCCUUCGGGUUGUAAACUUCUUUGAUCAGGGACGAAAGCAAUGACGGUACCUGAAGAACAAGCCACGGCUAACUACGUGCCAGCAGCCGCGGUAAUACGUAGGUGGCGAGCGUUAUCCGGAUUUACUGGGUGUAAAGGGCGUGUAGGCGGGUUUGCAAGUCGGGUGUGAAAGAUUCGGGCUUAACCCGGAGAGGUCAUCCGAAACUGCAGAUCUUGAGUGCUGGAGAGGAUAGUGGAAUUCCUGGUGUAGCGGUAAAAUGCGUAGAGAUCAGGAGGAACACCAGUGGCGAAGGCGGCUAUCUGGACAGUAACUGACGCUGAGGCGCGAAAGCGUGGGGAGCA